AUUGAACGCUGGCGGAAUGCUUUACACAUGCAAGUCGAACGGUAGAGGGGGCAACCCCUCGAGAGUGGCGAACGGGUGAGUAAUAUAUCGGAACGUGCCCAGUCGUGGGGGAUAACGUAGCGAAAGUUACGCUAAUACCGCAUACGAUCUAAGGAUGAAAGCGGGGGAUGGCAAGACCUCGCGCGAUUGGAGCGGCCGAUAUCAGAUUAGGUAGUUGGUGGGGUAAAGGCUCACCAAGCCAACGAUCUGUAGCUGGUCUGAGAGCACAACCGGCCACACUGGAACUGUGACCCGGUCCAGACUCCGACGGGAGGCAGAAGUGGGGAAUUUUGGACAAUGGACGCAAGUCUGAUCCAGCCAUUCCGCGUGCAGGAUGAAGGCCCUCGGGUUGUAAACUGCUUUUGUACGGAACGAAAAGGUCUCUCUUAAUACGGGGGACUCAUGACGGUACCGUAAGAAUAAGCACCGGCUAACUGCGUGCCAGCCGCCGCCGUAA
RNAcentral lists this ribosomal RNA (496 nucleotides) under uncultured bacterium. RNAcentral describes it as "partial 16S ribosomal RNA". It matches the Rfam family "Bacterial small subunit ribosomal RNA", at positions 30 to 523 of the family's 1533-position model. The record is from RNAcentral.